This 510-nucleotide ribosomal RNA is filed under the name uncultured bacterium. Its description in RNAcentral is "partial 16S ribosomal RNA". It matches the Rfam family "Bacterial small subunit ribosomal RNA", at positions 28 to 507 of the family's 1533-position model. The record is from RNAcentral.
GACGAACGCUGGCGGCGUGCUUAACACAUGCAAGUCGAACGAAGAGCGAUGGAAGCUUGCUUCUAUCAAUCUUAGUGGCGAACGGGUGAGUAACGCGUAAUCAACCUGCCCUUCAGAGGGGGACAACAGUUGGAAACGACUGCUAAUACCGCAUACGAUCUAAUCUCGGCAUCGAGGAUAGAUGAAAGGUGGCCUCUACAUGUAAGCUAUCACUGAAGGAGGGGAUUGCGUCUGAUUAGCUAGUUGGAGGGGUAAAGGCCCACCAAGGCGAUGAUCAGUAGCCGGUCAGAGAGGAUGAACGGCCACGUUGGGACUGAGACACGGCCCAGACUCCUACGGGAGGCAGCAGUGGGGAAUCUUCCGCAAUGGACGAAAGUCUGACGGAGCAACGCCGCGUGAGUGAUGACGGCCGUCGGGUUGUAAAGCUCUGUUAAUCGGGACGAAAGGCCUUCUUGCGAAUAGUGAGAAGGAUUGACGGUACCGGAAUAGAAAGCCACGGCUAACUACGUG